AUUUAAGACAUUAAGUCUUCACCGGAUAAGCGUUAGCCUAACCUGUAUCACAAUGGUUUACAUCAACAUGUUAAGGUUUUCGAAUCCAGCUUUCACAAGUUUUACCAAGUUACUAACAUAGGUUCUAAUUUGAAUGGAUAGCUAAACCCAGACAGUUUCACGGAACACAAGCCGCUUUCAUGCAUCUCAGGUUUAACCCCGAAACACACUUCCGCUAAACCUGUAAAAGUUUUGAUUUAACGUGCAAGCUUGCUUUUUUAAGGCAAACUCACACAGGUGUGGUAAUGAUCCUUCCGCAGGUUCACCUACGGAAA
This 314-nucleotide unclassified non-coding RNA is filed under the name uncultured fungus. Its description in RNAcentral is "sequence contains ITS1". Lineage: Eukaryota; Fungi. The record is from RNAcentral.